CCACGGCGUGCUCGUUUGACGCAGAACACUUGCGUUAGCGCUCUGCUUCGGUGACGUUGGACAAUGGGUUCAGCAUCAGGAAGCAUGCAAUUAUAAGAAAGGGGAAAGAGCAGAAGCUAAGAAUUUGCUCUUUUGUUCCGCCCCCCCCCCCCCUCCUCCUGCUUCGGAACGGAAAAUUAUUGUUUCGCUUGCUCAGCAGAACGUACUAAAGGCAGCCUUAUACGACCUGCGUGACGUCUCAGCAAACUGAUAUUUAACGCUUCGGCCUAUGAAGCUCACAGGAAAAAAGAAAUGGAUGCGACAUUUAUAACCGCAACGCUACUGGUCAUAUAUGUCGCUUUCUGGGAGCACAGCAGCGCGGCCAGGUCAAGAAACCCUGCCUGCCAGGAGACUCCUAAAGUGGAAAAUUGCAGCAUUGUGCUCCGAAAAUGGAGCUUCAAUAUUGAGACUAACGAAUGCGAAAUAAAUUUUGUUUGCCGAGAAAACAAAAAUUUGUUUCACUCACAAGAGGAAUGCACCAGAGCUUGCCCACCAAUUUCAGGAGUGGCACCUCGUCCGAAAGAAAAGGAUUGCUACUAUUGGCUCUAUAAAGGAAACGGAUGUUACUCAUACUGGUUUACUUAUUAUUAUGACCGCUGGGGAAGAAGUUAUCCAGUAAUGAUAUAUACUGGAUGUGGAAGGUGGCGACAUAGGCGCUAUGUUUAUUAUCUGCAUGCAAGAAAAUGCGCAGAAAUAAGAUGAAAGCCAUGUGGAUCCUGGGAAUAAAGCAGGACAAUGCUUGUCGUUUGACCCAUAUCA
RNAcentral lists this long non-coding RNA (798 nucleotides) under Dermacentor andersoni. RNAcentral's name for it is "uncharacterized LOC126543136". The record is from RNAcentral. Lineage: Eukaryota; Metazoa; Arthropoda; Arachnida; Ixodida; Ixodidae.